This 478-nucleotide ribosomal RNA is filed under the name uncultured bacterium. RNAcentral describes it as "bacterial SSU rRNA". It matches the Rfam family "Bacterial small subunit ribosomal RNA", at positions 1 to 526 of the family's 1533-position model. The record is from RNAcentral.
AGCUAGAGUUUGAUCAUGGCUCAGAGCGAACGCUGGCGGCAGGCUUAACACAUGCAAGUCGAGCGGAUGUAGCAAUACAUCAGCGGCAGACGGGUGAGUAACACGUGGGAACGUACCUUUUGGUUCGGAACAACACAGGGAAACUUGUGCUAAUACCGGAUAAGCCCUUACGGGGAAAGAUUUAUCGCCGAAAGAUCAGCCCGCGUUGGAUUAGCUUGUUGGUGAGGUAAUGGCUCACCAAGGCGACGAUCCAUAGCUGGUUUGAGAGAACGAUCAGCCACACUGGGACUGAGACACGGCCCAGACUCCUACGGGAGGCAGCAGUUGGGAAUCUUGGACAAUGGGCGAAAGCCUGAUCCAGCCAUGCCGCGUGAGUGAUGAAGGCCUUCGGGUUGUAAAGCUCUUUUGCCAGGGACGAUAAUGACUGUACCUGGAGAAUAAGCCCCGGCUAACUUCGUGCCAGCAGCCGCGGUACGCC